Small nuclear RNA from Mirounga angustirostris (Northern elephant seal), 105 nucleotides. The record is from RefSeq and is a predicted model, not a curated record. NCBI's taxonomy places the organism in Eukaryota, Metazoa, Chordata, Mammalia, Carnivora, Phocidae.
GUGCUUGCUUCAGCAACACAUAUGCUAAAACUGGAACAAUUACAGAGAUUAGCAUGGCCUCUGCACAAGGAUGACAUGCAAAUCUGUGAAGCAUAACAUAUGAAA